ACUGAAUAGAUACCCAGGUAGUCCUAGCCCUAAACGGUGCUUGCUUGCUGUAAGUGGAAUCGACCCCACUUGUGGCGGAGCUAACGCGUUAAGCAAGCCGCCUGGGAAGUACGGUCGCAAGAUUAAAACUCAAAGAAAUUGACGGGGGCCUGCACAAGCGGUGGAGUAUGUGGCUUAAUUCGAUGCAACGCGAAGAACCUUACCUGGCCUUGACAUGCAAGUGGUAAAAGCCUGAAAGGGUGAUGACCCCGCAAGGGGAGCUUGCACAGGUGCUGCAUGGCUGUCGUCAGCUCGUGUCGUGAGAUGUUGGGUUUAAGUCCCGCAACGAGCGCAACCCCCUAUGUCCUGUUGCCACCCAAACGAGAGUUUGGAGCACUCUGGACAGACUGCCUCGCUUCAACGAGGAGGAAGGUGGGGAUGACGUCAAGUCAGUAUGGCCCUUACGGCCAGGGCUGCACACGUACUACAAUGCCCGGCACAGAGGGGAGCGGAACCGACAGGUGGAGCAAAUCCUUGAAAACCGGGCCCAGUU
This 532-nucleotide ribosomal RNA is filed under the name uncultured bacterium. RNAcentral describes it as "bacterial SSU rRNA". It matches the Rfam family "Bacterial small subunit ribosomal RNA", at positions 772 to 1293 of the family's 1533-position model. The record is from RNAcentral.